GGAAGAUCCAUCGCCGCUGGUUACCACAGAGCUCCCGUCCGCAGACGCGACACGUUUCCUUCAUCUUGAGAUCCAGCAUGCCACAGGCGCACACACAGAGGGUCAUGCUGUUUCUCGUGGAUAUGCAGUGAGAAAUCCCAACGACCUCAAAGCAGUCCUGUGGCUUCAGGUCAGAGUACCGAUCAUGUGCUCCGUCAUUAAUAUCUGCUGCAUGACAUAUGAGCUGUUCGAGAUUUGAGGUGUUGCAGUUAAGACAGGACCAUGGAGCCAACACCCAUAGAUGGAGCUGCUGUUUCUCCUGGAGCUCCUGCUUCAAGCUCUCUACUUCCACCUUCAGCUCGAUGUUCUGCAACAGAUGAAAGCAGCAGGUCAGUCAUUGGUCAUACGUUAAUUUGUCAUCACACAUCAUUAAAUAUAUCCUCCAACAUCAGCAUUAAAUCAUGAUGAACAGAUAAAUGACCAUUUGUAAUUGUACUGUUGCAUCAGUGAUAGUGGGUGGUGGAAUAGUCCUGUGAUCAAGAAAACUUGCACUAUUAGCAAAAAAGAAAAAAACUGAUACAUUUAUUCUAUAAAUUCUGUAAUUUCAUACAAUUACAUAAAGAAGACCAAGUUGCAAUAUAUUUUGGAGCUAUUUCACACACUUGAGCUCAUCACUUUGUGUAACGUGUGUCCGCUCUGUAUAUCUGAGGUUCAGGUACAGAUUACGUACUUUAAUAUGUUUGACAUGCUGUCUUUCAUUAUUUCUAUAUUACUGGGUUUGUCUGAAUCUAAAGUUUUCUUCCCUCCCCCACAUCUUGAGUACCUUUUCCUCUUGUUUCCUACAUCUCUUCAUCACACGCUAACCUCUCUGCCAGAACACAUGAGCGUGCUGUCAAGGCUGGUAUAUUUAGAGCUGGCGAAUUUGUGGCAGCUCAGAUAUUCGCCGUCGGGGCCAAAGGCUAAACUCCGCAGUUUGUUUACCUGCUGAGGUCCACAGGGGACACUUUAGGGCCGGCUCUGGGGGACAGAGGAUUGGUGGAGCUCAUUGCGUGACCUUGGAGAGCUGCAAGAGGACAGUGUGUCUCUCUGCUCCUCCGAUAGCCGGUCGUACCACCACAGCUUGGCUCAUGUUCAUCUCAACAGAUUGUCCACUGUCUCUUGUCCCUCAUCUCUAUUCAUCUGCGUCUCUGUCCCUGUGUCUGUCUUCGCUCUCCGCCCUUGUUCGUUCUCUCUUUCGGUUUUAGAAAUGUUUUAGUUUGUUUUGGAGUCUGUUGACCUUCCCCUGUCCCUGCCAGAGAGCUUUAUGUCCAUAACACUCACAGAGCUCCAUGUGCACUCACAGCCUGGAGGAGCCUGGAGCCUCCCCAGAAACAUUUUCCUGAGAGGCCCCACGAGUGAUCAACACGCACAUAUUACAGGUACACACACAAUACACAUUAACUGGUCAUGGCGGAUCAGAACGGGACAAAUAUCCAUAGUUUAGAUUAUUUAAAGUGAGUUUUUCUUUGGCAAGAAAAAAUUAAUAAAAUAAAAUGUUUAGUUUCUUAAGAUGUUCGUAAAUCUAUUGAAAAUUGUAAACUAUACAUGCACAAAUAAUAUAAAAAAGACAGCAGAAAUUAAUGCUAAUUCUCUGUUUCUGUGUGCGUGUGUGUGUGUCAACAACUUGACUGACAGUAAGAGAGACAUUUUCCCAUCUUGAAAACAGUUCUAUAUAUAGACACUCAUCACAGUGCACCAGCUGCUGUUGUGGCCCUUCCUGGCCUGCCGGCCCCCAGCAACAGAUCCCCUAAUAACCAAAUUGUGCAAGAGGAGGAGGAAAACACUGACGGGAGUGUCCCUAAUUAAUCAGACACACCUGCAACGUGACUGAUCACCGACUGACAGAUAUUAUAUUUUACUCUCAAUUCAUCCGUUGUUGCUGUUGCUUAUUUUGCAUAUUGCAUUCAGAACUAUUUAUACUCUGGUUGCAUCACUUUAUUUACAUGAAUGAAAACUGUGGAAUACACUAUUUUCAGAACAAGAUGAUACACAUGAUUAUUUACAUGAUUUGAUCUGCUUAUUAUUUUCUUUAUGAGUUGAUUAUUAGUUGUCUAUUAAAUGUUAUACUGAAAUACUGAAAAAUCCAAAUUCAAAGGUAUUACAUUUACAAUCCCAUGAGAUAAAUAAAAGAAGCAAAUCCUUUCAAUGAAGAAGCUGGCAGUAGAAAACAUUUGGUAUUUUUGUUUAAAAAAGUAUUAUUUGUUAUUAAAAUAGCUGAUUAUUAAAUGUU
Pseudoliparis swirei is the source of this 2248-nucleotide long non-coding RNA. RefSeq lists it as uncharacterized. The transcript has 4 exons. Lineage: Eukaryota; Metazoa; Chordata; Actinopteri; Perciformes; Liparidae. The record is from RefSeq and is a predicted model, not a curated record.